AUUGAACGCUGGCGGCAGGCCUAACACAUGCAAGUCGAACGGUAACAGGAAGACGCUUGCUUCUUUGCUGACGAGUGGCGGACAGGUGAGUAAUGUCUGGGAAACUGCCUGAUGGAGGGGGAUAACUACUGGAAACGGUAGCUAAUACCGCAUAACGUCGCAAGACCAAAGAGGGGGACCUUCGGGCCUCUUGCCAUCGGAUGUGCCCAGAUGGGAUUAGCUAGUAGGUGGGGUAACGGCUCACCUAGGCGACGAUCCCUAGCUGGUCUGAGAGGAUGACCAGCCACACUGGAACUGAGACACGGUCCAGACUCCUACGGGAGGCAGCAGUGGGGAAUAUUGCACAAUGGGCGCAAGCCUGAUGCAGCCAUGCCGCGUGUAUGAAGAAGGCCUUCGGGUUGUAAAGUACUUUCAGCGGGGAGGAAGGGAGUAAAGUUAAUACCUUUGCUCAUUGACGUUACCCGCAGAAGAAGCACCGGCUAACUCCGUG
This 490-nucleotide ribosomal RNA is filed under the name uncultured bacterium. Its description in RNAcentral is "partial 16S ribosomal RNA". It matches the Rfam family "Bacterial small subunit ribosomal RNA", at positions 30 to 507 of the family's 1533-position model. The record is from RNAcentral.